UGCAAGACAAGUCCAAUCUCUUCCCUUCUCUUGGCUCCACUCUGCCCACUAUCAAAAUGGCAUUUUCAUGGCAAUACAAAUCCGUAUUACAUAACUUAAAAAUAAUCUUCAUAGUCCUAGGUCUAUUCCGGAAAAACGUAUUUUAAAAGCAUGAUGGAAGACCAAAGAAUGAGAAAGUAACAUUUUAAUGCGGAGCUUAGUAAUCGCCUAGAAUGAAUGGCGAUAUACGGUUUACCGCAACGUCCAACGAGCAAAGGAGAAGGACAGCAAAAUUCAUGACUAUCUUAAGCAAGCCAGGACAGUGCUAAAAAGCCGAGUCGCCCGGUCUCCCGGUUUCCACACGCGUUCAGAGACACAAACUCACCCGCCGCUGAGGAAACGGUACUGCCUUCGCGGCCUUCGGGGAUCCAGGUUACGAGUGGGCUCCACUGGUUCGAGGUUUCGGCGCGCCGCUCGCCCGGGAGAGUGAGUGCCGAAGCUCCUACUCGCACAGGCCGCAAACACAGCCGCGCUGCGCGGGGAGCUGCUGGAGGUCUUCCUCUUGCCCGGCAUGCACUGCGGCCAGAGGCGUGGAGCGCGGAACCAUAGAGAACGUAUAUAGAUCGUCUCCGCUGUUGGCUCUGACUGAGACGGAAUAACCAUAGAGAAGCAGCGUCUAACCACUACUAGAAAGGCCCGAACUGUAAAUUAUGACCCACCCUGCCAUAUGUGAUUGGAGUCGACUGAAUGUUACGACUACGGGACGCCAUCUUGAGGUCAAGAUUCCUGCCGGGCACCGCGCGAUGAGUGUUUAGAGGAUUUCUCACUUUUCGUAGUUUUUUCGGGGCGUAGAACCUUGCUUUGUAAUCAUUCAUUGAGGUUCGAGGAACUGAUACUGGGCCCGAUCCGCAACCUCAGUGUUAAACUCCAAGUGCUGUGACAAUAGCUAUUCGAGAUCAAGAAAUAAUUGGCAAAAGCUGUGGAAGCUUUUUGAAAAGUAAAAAUUUUUGCGUAGUUGUAGGGUCAAAGAGGUGGCCAGAAGAUGUUUGAAAAAACGUGAAAAGUCCUGUAAUACUAGUUAACACAACUUUGGUCUGUAGUCUAAACGUGCUAAAAGAUCUUAGCUUAAGUUAAUGGAAUGAAUAAAAUUAAUCGCAAAUGAUUAGGUUAUUUGGAUUUUGGACCUUAGAGCCAAUAUCUAGUUAUACACCUUUGUUUCUCAACUGCUUGCUUCUUGGAAGGCAUAAAAUGUAUUCGGUAUAAAGUUAUUGCCUCUCUGAGUGCCUGGCGCUGUGCUAAGUGCUGGCAGUGUGAAGGCAAAUGGAAGUGAGAUUUGUUCCUGUCCUGCAGGAACUGUUGACAAGGCGAAAUAGAUAACAAACCUUGACCACCCUGUAUAAAAUUGAAACAUACCUACGCACUCCCUGCCUGCCUCUCCUACUUAAUUUUAAUCUAAAGCACUCAUAACCAUCUAUUAUAACAUAUUUUUCUUACUGAUUUUAUGGUCUGUCCAUCUCUACCCCACUAGAAUGUGAAUGUCAGCAAUGCAUGGAUUGCCUGUUUUGUGCAAAAACAGGUCCUGGUACACAGCAAGCGCUUUGUUGAGUGAAAUAAAUGAUUACCCGGAGGCUCAUGCCUGUACUCCCAGCACUUUGGGAGGCCUAGGUAGGUGGAUCACCGAGGUUAGAAGUGGAUCACCUCACCAGCCUGGCCAACAUGGCGAAACCCCAUCUCUACUGAAAAUACAAAAAUUAGCUGGGCACGGCCACGGGCGCCUAUAAUCCCAGCCACUCAGGAGGAUGAGGCAGGAGAAUCGCUUGAAGCCUGGAGGCAGACAUUUCAGUGAGUGGAGAUGGCACCAGUGCACUACAGCCUGGGCAACAGAGCAAGACUCCAUCUCAAACAUAAAAGAAAAAAAAAUGAUUAAGGUAUGAUGAGUACCAAGAGAACACAAAAUUUCGUGGGAACACAAUUGAGAAAGUGUCACUCAUUUACAACAAAAGACAUAAACAGAAAUUCUCUCUGGUUACUCUGUGUCCCUUUUCAUUAUUAGAAACAUUGUACAUGAAUUUGUGUUUGCUUGUGUAAUAAAGAGAGUUCCGA
Long non-coding RNA from Callithrix jacchus (white-tufted-ear marmoset), 2082 nucleotides. RefSeq lists it as uncharacterized. Lineage: Eukaryota; Metazoa; Chordata; Mammalia; Primates; Cebidae. The record is from RefSeq and is a predicted model, not a curated record.